RNAcentral lists this ribosomal RNA (250 nucleotides) under uncultured Exiguobacterium sp. RNAcentral's name for it is "partial 16S ribosomal RNA". It matches the Rfam family "Bacterial small subunit ribosomal RNA", at positions 524 to 773 of the family's 1533-position model. Lineage: Bacteria; Bacillati; Bacillota; Bacilli; Caryophanales. The record is from RNAcentral.
UACGUAGGUGGCAAGCGUUGUCCGGAAUUAUUGGGCGUAAAGCGCGCGCAGGCGGCCUUUUAAGUCUGAUGUGAAAGCCCCCGGCUCAACCGGGGAGGGCCAUUGGAAACUGGAAGGCUUGAGUACAGAAGAGAAGAGUGGAAUUCCACGUGUAGCGGUGAAAUGCGUAGAGAUGUGGAGGAACACCAGUGGCGAAGGCGACUCUUUGGUCUGUAACUGACGCUGAGGCGCGAAAGCGUGGGGAGCAAAC